Gallus gallus (chicken) is the source of this 762-nucleotide long non-coding RNA. RefSeq lists it as uncharacterized. The transcript is spliced from 2 exons. The record is from RefSeq and is a predicted model, not a curated record. NCBI's taxonomy places the organism in Eukaryota, Metazoa, Chordata, Aves, Galliformes, Phasianidae.
GGGGCCUGGCACACUUGGGGCUGCUUUGGGGCCCAGGCUGGAGGAGGACCAGGCUCAGCUGGGGCUGCUUUGGGGCCUAGUCCGGAGGGAGGCCCGGCACAGCCAGAGCCUUGUGGCAGCAGUCCAACUCUCAAGUUCAACCUUUAACCAUAACCUAAAACGGUAACCGUAGUGAAAGGUAGUGGCAGAUAGAGCUGCUUUACUGUGUUUUAAUUUUCCCAAGAAUAGUGAAGGACUCAAGCUAGUAAAGAAAGACCCCUUUCUGAAGAGCAGGACUCAGAAGGUAUUACCAGAGAGCAGAUCUCCCAGUAGAGAUUCUUCCCCUUAGACAGCCAGCCCUUAAAUGAGGUUAGGGAGGGCUGGGACCAGGCUCCACCCCUUUUCUGCACAGGUGAAACGCUUCCAGCUGUGCUCCGCAGCAGACCAUGUUUUAACAAAGGUGAAAGCCUGUGAAACAAAAGAAUCCCUUCUUACUUGUUUCACGUUUGUGUUUGUUGACCGCAGUUCCAACCAGGUGGACUCUCAAUGUCUUGCAAGCGACACCUAGAAGCAGGUACAGGCAGGAGGCACAGCACCCUGCAACCUCCAGGGGCCUUUGUGCAAAUGUUCAUGUCCUAGAAGCACGUGGCGGAGCACGUCCUGGGAUCAAGGUGCCAUGGACUGGAAAAUGCAGCUCUGGACAUACAGGCUUGGCGGAGUUCCUGUGUGAAGACAAAACUCCCAGUACUCCAGAAACGUGGAGGCAGAAGAGCAGUGACAAGG